Molecule: small nuclear RNA, 23 nt
Filed under: Arabidopsis thaliana (thale cress)
Lineage: Eukaryota; Viridiplantae; Streptophyta; Magnoliopsida; Brassicales; Brassicaceae
Description: snRNA_00353
Source: RNAcentral
CGAUUACAAUAAUCGAUGUUAAU